GAAGAAAACAGUACAAUAAAUACAAUAUACAAGAACAGCAACGCAGAAUCCUCCAAGUAUAUGCUUAGAAUAUCUAUAUAGUACCAAAAAUUUUGUCAAAUAUUUCCUUCAUCAAUAAUGCUAGCAAGAAAGAAGAAACAAGAAACAAGAAAGAAGAAAGGAGGCAACAAUAAUGUCAAGCCAUAUUGAUCAAGAAAUCUUGACAGAGAUCCUCAAAAGAUUACCUGCAAAAUUUCUUGUGCAGCUAAGGUGUGUAUCCAAAUCAUGGUACUCCUUAAUCACCAAUCCUUCUUUCAUUUCCAUACACUCUAAAUUUACCCUAGAGAACAGUACAAGAAGCACUACUUGUACUGAUAAAUUGAUGCUUAGGCACUAUUCUUGGACUCACAAGAAGGAGAUAUACACAAUACAGAGCAGCGGCAUGAGCUUAUUUGAUCAGUAUCAAGAACUUGUUUUCCCCUUCAAGAGCUACUCUCAGUACUUUGAGAUUGUUGGUUCUUGUAAUGGGAUUCUUUGUCUUUCUGAUACUUAUCGUGUCAAUUCUCACACUAUCAUUUUAUGGAAUCCCACAAUUAGAAAAUCAACUACUUUGCCACUGCCAUGCAUAUCUUUUCACCAAAUCUAUAUGUUUGUUCUUGGAUUUGGAUGUGAUGAUAAAAGCAAUGAAUACAAAGUCGUGAGAAUUGUAUAUCGUGUAAUGGAAGACAAGUGUAAAGUAGAUAUUAGACCUCAGGUUGAAGUGUAUGAGCUAAGCCUGGAUGCUUGGAGAAGCAUCAGAAUCAGUGCUGCUCCUCAGUAUGUAAUAUCUGAACUAUCGAUGCGGGUUUUUCUCAAUGGUUCUGUCCAUUGGAUUGGAUACAUUCCAAGUGAAGCAGAUAGCGAUUUUCGCAAUUUGAGCUUAGUGUUGUUCGAUAUGAGCAACGAAGUGUUCAAAGAAAUGAAGCUGCCAGAUAGUUUAACUGGGUUGUCUGUGCUAGAUUUGUCCAUUUUUGCUUCUGGUAAGUUGCUUUCUUUGAUACAAUACAAUCGCCAUGCUCGCAGCCAGUGGAUACAAUAUGGCAGCUGCUCCAUCUGGGUGAUGAAAGAUUAUGGCAAGGUUGAGUCUUGGACUAAGCAAUUCACCAUUGAUCUACAAGGAGGUAUUGGGAAGGCACUAGGCCUUGGAACUAAUGCUGAAAUGCUACUGGUGGCGAGUAGUGGAGAGCUGGUUUCAUACGGCAUCGAAAAUCAGAAAAUUAGCCAUCUGGGGAUCAAAGGCAUUGCGAAUUCUUUUCAUUUGGAGGCUUAUUCUGAGACUCUGGUUUUGCUUGAUGGCAUCAAUGAGAUCUUAGGACAGACAAGUUCCUGCAAAUUACAGUGAUUCACAUAAAGUUGAACCUUGAAAUUAUAGAGAGUUGUGAGAGCCUCUUGAAGGUUAAAUGAAGGCUGCAUAUGGUACAUUACCCUUCCACAAUCCUUUCAAAAUCAGGUUUCUUAUGUUUACAGGUUGUUAUUUAAUUUUUUUAUGCUAGUUUAUUAUAUUAUUGUUGGAACAAGAGCUUCAUUUUAUCAUACAAAAGAAUUAAGGUGGGUUGAUGUUUGUCCUGUUACCCUUUAAACAUUAAUGGCAUAGCUGCUUGUGUAGGGGACUGGUCUUUGAUUAAUUUGCUUUUGAC
Molecule: unclassified non-coding RNA, 1655 nt
Filed under: Hevea brasiliensis (rubber tree)
Lineage: Eukaryota; Viridiplantae; Streptophyta; Magnoliopsida; Malpighiales; Euphorbiaceae
Source: RNAcentral